AAUUAGAAAAUGGUAUCAUUGUAUUGUCUGUUCUGUUUUUGUGUCCAUACCAUGUGAACACUAUCCUGAGAUUCCAAGAUCCACAGAGUCCAGUCAAUCCAGCCUCAAGUACAAACCACUGAUCGUCAUUCACAAUCCUACAUCUCCCAUAAUUGCUCUUCUUUCUUGAGCUAAUAAGGUUCAUCCAGCCAAGUCAUAUUCUAAGCCAUCCAAACAAUAAUGGAUGCUUCCAAACAUCAUAGGAAGCAUCCACAAAGACUGCCUGCAUCCAUCCAGUUGUCUCCUAAUAUAUCAAAAUUAAGUUCAUGGAACAACACAAAAAUGGUCAAAAUGUACUAAAACUAACAAAGACAUAUGAAAUGCACUGAAGUCAUAAUUUCCCCCAUGCAAGAGAUUCUAUACUCCAUUCA
Molecule: long non-coding RNA, 410 nt
Organism: Sinocyclocheilus anshuiensis
Lineage: Eukaryota; Metazoa; Chordata; Actinopteri; Cypriniformes; Cyprinidae
Exons: 3
Source: RefSeq, a predicted model, not a curated record